RNAcentral lists this ribosomal RNA (427 nucleotides) under Bacteroidota bacterium. RNAcentral's name for it is "Bacteroidetes bacterium partial 16S ribosomal RNA". It matches the Rfam family "Bacterial small subunit ribosomal RNA", at positions 355 to 774 of the family's 1533-position model. Lineage: Bacteria; Pseudomonadati; Bacteroidota. The record is from RNAcentral.
UAGGGAAUCUUCCGCAAUGGGCGAAAGCCUGACGGAGCAACGCCGCGUGAGUGAUGAAGGUCUUCGGAUCGUAAAACUCUGUUAUUAGGGAAGAACAAAUGUGUAAGUAACUAUGCACAUCUUGACGGUACCUAAUCAGAAAGCCACGGCUAACUACGUGCCAGCAGCCGCGGUAAUACGUAGGUGGCAAGCGUUAUCCGGAAUUAUUGGGCGUAAAGCGCGCGUAGGCGGUUUUUUAAGUCUGAUGUGAAAGCCCACGGCUCAACCGUGGAGGGUCAUUGGAAACUGGAAAACUUGAGUGCAGAAGAGGAAAGUGGAAUUCCAUGUGUAGCGGUGAAAUGCGCAGAGAUAUGGAGGAACACCAGUGGCGAAGGCGACUUUCUGGUCUGUAACUGACGCUGAUGUGCGAAAGCGUGGGGAUCAAACA